UACGUAGGGUGCAAGCGUUAAUCGGAAUUACUGGGCGUAAAGCGUGCGCAGGCGGCUUUGCAAGACAGAUGUGAAAUCCCCGGGCUUAACCUGGGAACUGCAUUUGUGACUGCAUGGCUGGAGUGCGGCAGAGGGGGAUGGAAUUCCGCGUGUAGCAGUGAAAUGCGUAGAUAUGCGGAGGAACACCGAUGGCGAAGGCAAUCCCCUGGGCCUGCACUGACGCUCAUGCACGAAAGAGUGGGGAGCAAACAGG
Molecule: ribosomal RNA, 253 nt
Filed under: uncultured bacterium
Lineage: Bacteria
Description: partial 16S ribosomal RNA
Rfam family: Bacterial small subunit ribosomal RNA
Source: RNAcentral